Molecule: non-coding RNA, 258 nt
Organism: Danio rerio (zebrafish)
Lineage: Eukaryota; Metazoa; Chordata; Actinopteri; Cypriniformes; Danionidae
Source: Ensembl
UGGAGAGAGAAAGGGAGAAGAGGGAGACUCACAAGAGCAUCAAUGGAGAUAUACUUUAAGACCUGGAGCUCAGGAAGCAGAUUGGUAUGGAGCAGGUGGAGAAACAGGGAAACACACGUCAGUAAUGACAAGUGUAUCAUAAUAAAUUAGAGUGGAGUGAAGAAUCUAGGGAAUCGCACAUCUCAGCAAUGAUAAGACUCUGAUGGUCAGGUAUCACCUAUUGACGUCAGAUGUCCAAGAAGAAGGGGGUGGUGGUGG